GCCGGGCACGGUGGCUCGCGCCUGUAAUCCCAGCACUUUGGGAGGCUGAGGCAGGUGGAUCACCUGAGGCCAGGAGUUCGAGACCAGCCUGGCCAACAUGGUGAAACCCUGUCUCUA
RNAcentral lists this signal recognition particle RNA (117 nucleotides) under Gorilla gorilla gorilla (western lowland gorilla). RNAcentral describes it as "Metazoan signal recognition particle RNA". It matches the Rfam family "Metazoan signal recognition particle RNA". Rfam says of the family: The signal recognition particle (SRP) is a universally conserved ribonucleoprotein. Lineage: Eukaryota; Metazoa; Chordata; Mammalia; Primates; Hominidae. The record is from Rfam by way of RNAcentral.